GAUGAACGCUAGCGGCAGGCCUAACACAUGCAAGUCGAGGGAGAGGUUAUCUUCGGGCGACCAAAACCGGCGCACGGGUGCGUAACGCGUAUACAAUCUGCCUUUCACAUAGGGAUAGCCCGAAGAAAUUUGGAUUAAUACCUAAUGGUAUAUAAGAGCGGCAUCGUUUUUAUAUUAAAGCUACGGUGGUGAAAGAUGAGUAUGCGUUCUAUUAGCUAGUUGGAGAGGUAACGGCUCCCCAAGGCGACGAUAGAUAGGGGUUCUGAGAGGGAUGUCCCCCACACUGGUACUGAGAUACGGACCAGACUCCUACGGGAGGCAGCAGUGAGGAAUAUUGGACAAUGGUCGGAAGACUGAUCCAGCCAUGCCGCGUGCAGGAUGAAGGUCCUAUGGAUUGAAAACUGCUUUUGUAAGGGAGCAAUAACGAGUACGUGUACGUUGAUGAUGGUACUUCACGAGUGAGGAUCGUCUAACUCCCGUGCCCCUAGCCGCGGUAAUACGGAGGAUGCGAUCCUUAUCCGGAAACUAGGUGUAACAAAGGCCCGGCGGCGCGCUGAUAGC
RNAcentral lists this ribosomal RNA (561 nucleotides) under uncultured Capnocytophaga sp. Its description in RNAcentral is "bacterial SSU rRNA". It matches the Rfam family "Bacterial small subunit ribosomal RNA", at positions 28 to 587 of the family's 1533-position model. Lineage: Bacteria; Pseudomonadati; Bacteroidota; Flavobacteriia; Flavobacteriales; Flavobacteriaceae. The record is from RNAcentral.